This 328-nucleotide unclassified non-coding RNA is filed under the name soil metagenome. RNAcentral's name for it is "partial contains 5.8S ribosomal RNA, internal transcribed spacer 2, and large subunit ribosomal RNA". The stretch from base 1 to 120 matches the Rfam family "5.8S ribosomal RNA", at positions 35 to 154 of the family's 154-position model. The record is from RNAcentral.
GAUGAAGAACGCAGCGAAAUGCGAUAAGUAAUGUGAAUUGCAGAAUUCAGUGAAUCAUCGAAUCUUUGAACGCACAUUGCGCCCCUUGGUAUUCCGAGGGGCAUGCCUGUUCGAGCGUCAUUAUAACCCUCAAGCUCAGCUUGGUGUUGGGGCCUGCUGCAGUGGCAGCCCUUAAAAUCAGUGGCGGCGCCACCUGGCUCUAAGCGUAGUAAUUCUUCUCGCUAUGGAGUCCUGGUGGAUGCUUGCCAUCAACCCCCAAUUUUUCUAUGGUUGACCUCGGAUCAGGUAGGGAUACCCGCUGAACUUAAGCAUAUCAAUAAGCGGAGGA